GAUGAACGCUAGCUACAGGCUUAACACAUGCAAGUCGAGGGGAAACGACAUCGAAAGCUUGCUUUUGAUGGGCGUCGACCGGCGCACGGGUGAGUAACGCGUAUCCAACCUGCCCAUCACUUGGGAAUAACCUUGCGAAAGUAAGACUAAUACCCAAUGACAUCCCACGAAGACAUCUGAAUGGGAUUAAAGAUUUAUCGGUGAUGGAUGGGGAUGCGCCUGAUUAGCUUGUUGGCGGGGUAACGGCCCACCAAGGCAACGAUCAGUAAGGGUUCUGAGAGGAAGGUCCCCCACAUUGGAACUGAGACACGGUCCAAACUCCUACGGGAGGCAGCAGUGAGGAAUAUUGGUCAAUGGGCGAGAGCCUGAACCAGCCAAGUAGCGUGCAGGAUGACGGCCCUAUGGGUUGUAAACUGCUUUUAUAAGGGAAUAAAGUGGGUCUCGUGAGACUUUUUGCAUGUACCUUAUGAAUAAGGACCGGCUAAUUCCGUG
RNAcentral lists this ribosomal RNA (492 nucleotides) under uncultured bacterium. RNAcentral describes it as "partial 16S ribosomal RNA". It matches the Rfam family "Bacterial small subunit ribosomal RNA", at positions 28 to 507 of the family's 1533-position model. The record is from RNAcentral.